Arachis duranensis is the source of this 292-nucleotide long non-coding RNA. RefSeq lists it as uncharacterized. Lineage: Eukaryota; Viridiplantae; Streptophyta; Magnoliopsida; Fabales; Fabaceae. The record is from RefSeq and is a predicted model, not a curated record. The transcript is spliced from 3 exons.
GGGUGGUCUCUGCUCCUCUGAUUUUAGAAUAAGAAGGAAAGGAAGAAGGUGAGGGAAGUGGAAAUUCUUAAGAAAGAUCCUGAACAGCUGAAGAAACAGAUUGAGAACUUGGAAAUGAUGAGAAUAUGAAGAUAAAAUGAAGGAGAAGGGUGAGACCCUGUUAUGUUCAGGUGAGGGAUUUCUCCAUUGCUUAAAAGCAACAUUUUAACCCACUUUUUUCGUUGUUAGUUUAUACAUUCUAGAAUGCCUUUUCGGCAUAAGAUGAACAUUACAAGAGAAAGCAUAAUGCUGG